CUACGGAAGGCAGCAGUGGGGAAUAUUGGACAAUGGGCGCAAGCCCGAUCCAGCCAUGCCGCGUGAGUGAUGAAGGCCUUAGGGUUGUAAAGCUCUUUCGUCAGGGAAGAUAAUGACGGUACCUGAAGAAGAAGCCCCGGCUAACUUCGUGCCAGCAGCCGCGGUAAUACGAAGGGGGCUAGCGUUGCUCGGAAUCACUGGGCGUAAAGCGCACGUAGGCGGCUUUCUAAGUCAGGGGUGAAAUCCUGGAGCUCAACUCCAGAACUGCCUUUGAUACUGGAAAGCUUGAGUUCGAGAGAGGUGAGUGGAACUGCGAGUGUAGAGGUGAAAUUCGUAGAUAUUCGCAAGAACACCAGUGGCGAAGGCGGCUCACUGGCUCGAUACUGACGCUGAGGUGCGAAAGCGUGGGGAGCAAACAGGAUUAGAAACCCCUGUAGUCC
RNAcentral lists this ribosomal RNA (440 nucleotides) under uncultured bacterium. RNAcentral's name for it is "bacterial SSU rRNA". It matches the Rfam family "Bacterial small subunit ribosomal RNA", at positions 339 to 796 of the family's 1533-position model. The record is from RNAcentral.